Molecule: long non-coding RNA, 1920 nt
Organism: Oxyura jamaicensis (ruddy duck)
Lineage: Eukaryota; Metazoa; Chordata; Aves; Anseriformes; Anatidae
Exons: 3
Source: RefSeq, a predicted model, not a curated record
UACUGCACAGUGUCACCAUUUUCCUCUGCCAUCACAGAUGACACAGAACUACUGGAUGUGUUUGAUCCACAACUUGCUGACAUUAAGGACAAAACUCUCAGAUGAUCUUAGCAGUUCAUGACUGCGACAAGUAUGCAAAAAUAUACUUCAAGAAGAUCAUACAUUUGCAAUCUGUGAUGCAGAUAUUUGAUGCAGACUUUUCCACCUUUGCUAUCUUCUACAAGCCCAGGUUAACAGCCAGGUGCAAUCUUUCCAUAAAGAAUUUACUGCUGUUGGGCAUAUGGUGAAGUGCGACUACAUGUGUGUGACCUGGACAUUCCAAAAUACCUGUCACAAUAUUUACUCAUAUUAAGGUCACACACCUCCAUAUCCCCAGAUACCAACCUCUAAGUAUCUGCUGCAUUGCUAUGAACACAGCCUCACAGAACAAUGCUGACUGGUGGCCAUCUGGCUUUCAGAAAGUCAAGCACUACAAGCCAUUCCACCCGAAUGCAAGCUUUGUCCAUCAUUUCCCAUCUGACUUUCUUUCAAGCAAACCAGGCGGUAUGUCUCUACACAGAACUGAGGGCAUGACAAGGGAAAUGCCAACUUUACAUUAAGAAAGCUGAAACCUGCUCUCAGCUGAUGUCAGGCAGAGUUUGUGGUAUGGGCAUGUCUCCCUCUGCCCUGCAGUGUUAUGCCUCAAAGGUAUCAAGAAUACAGUGGGACAGAGAAGCCAAACUGCUCACUGACCUUCAUGAACAGUUGUACUACAUCGGGAUUGAGGUAUACUGUAAGAAUGAAUGCCACUAUCAGCAACAUUUUAAGGAGAAAGAAAUUUAAUCCCCGUGAGUACCAAAACAGCAACCUCCAAAGUCAGUGGAUAAAAAAUGUGCUUAAAAAUGCUGUAUGCUGUUGAAGAAAGAAGUGCUGAAACUAUUGCUAGGCUGUGUGAACCCCAAAAGGUCCUGCUUUAAUUGAAAAUGUUUGGAACAGACUCCAGUUCUAUUUUUAGCAGAAAACACAGCAGUUGAGUACUGUUUCUGCUGUUCAGCGUGCUCCCAAGGUUAACUCUUCUGAAUCUGCCCCUUCCUGUUGCUGUACCAAAGGUGACUGACAGUGCUUGAGAACACAGCUGGCUUUCUCACUUCCUUCCCUGUGAACAUCCAGGGAUGUAGACUGCUGAGGCCACAGCAAGCACCAGCUUGUCUUAAGGUUUGAGCUCUCCAGUCUGCAAUUCAAAGGUCUGGGCACAGAAGACAAAGGAUUAUGACAUUUUGUGUUUGUUGCAUCAGAUGCUACUCAGUGUUCUGGAGCGUGCAACAGGCAGAAUGACUCAGAAGAGAACUGACUUGAAAACAUACAUGGACAUAUUCAAAUACAGCUUUCUAACAGUUUGAGAUGAAGUUAUGUAAGGUACCAAAGUAAGACAUUACUGCAUACACAAUAUGGUAAGGACAACUUGGCUUCUGUUACUAACAGUCCUAGAAACCUAACAAUAGACUUGUUAGGAUAGUCAUACCCCAAAGAAGUUAUGCAUGCAUAAACAAGUAUUUUGUAUAUACUUGCAUUUCUCAUACUAUUGUCUAAACACCCAUGAAGUAAAAAGAUUCGUGUACUUCCUAAAAUUGGGAAGAGAAUCAUCAAAAUGCAUCUUAAAAUAUUGUAGAGUUCCUUAACGUACUUUGAAAUAAAGAAUAGGAUUCCCCCUCUCUCAUCCCAGCAGACUCCCAGUAGAUUUUAGUCUUCCCCUCAGGUAAAUUUUUCUACCAGAGUCUUCUCACAAUUCUCAGUGGAUUCUCUGGUGAUCUGCAACACUGAACAAAAACUGCUCUUGGACUCAAAACUGCAAAUUAUGCUGUUUUCAGCAGAGACCCAAAAAUGCAAAGUUAAGGAUGUGAACUGGCCUUGUUAAUCUUAAUAUAAAUCUAAUAACUUAAA